RNAcentral lists this ribosomal RNA (433 nucleotides) under uncultured bacterium. RNAcentral describes it as "partial 16S ribosomal RNA". It matches the Rfam family "Bacterial small subunit ribosomal RNA", at positions 29 to 507 of the family's 1533-position model. The record is from RNAcentral.
AACGAACGCUGGCGGCAGGCCUAACACAUGCAAGUCGAGCGAGGACUUCGGUUCUAGCGGCGGACGGGUGUGUAACGCGUGGGAAUGUGCCCUUCUCUACGGAAUAGCCCUGGGAAACUGGGAGUAAUACCGUAUACGCCCUAUUGGGGAAAGAUUUAUCGAAGAAGGAUCAGCCCGCGUUGGAUUAGGUAGUUGGUGGGGUAAUGGCCUACCAAGCCGACGAUCCAUAGCUGGUUUGAGAGGAUGAUCAGCCACACUGGGACUGAGACACGGCCCAGACUCCUACGGGAGGCAGCAGUGGGGAAUCUUGGAAAAUGGCGUCAAUCCUGAUGUAGCCAGGCUGGGUGAGUGAUGAAGGCCUGAGGGUUGUAAAGCGCUUGCAGCUGGGAAGAUAAUGACGGUACCAGCAGAAGAAGCCCCGGCUAACUCCGUG